RNAcentral lists this ribosomal RNA (1376 nucleotides) under uncultured bacterium. RNAcentral's name for it is "bacterial SSU rRNA". It matches the Rfam family "Bacterial small subunit ribosomal RNA", at positions 29 to 1394 of the family's 1533-position model. The record is from RNAcentral.
UUGAACGCUGGCGGUAUGCUUAACACAUGCAAGUCGAACGGAAACGAUACUAGCUUGCUAGUAGGCGUCGAGUGGCGGACGGGUGAGUAACGCGUAGGAAUCUGCCUGAUAGUGGGGGAUAGCCCGAAGAAAUUCGGAUUAAUACCGCAUAAUCUAUUCGUAGUAAAGUGGGGGACUUUCGAGCCUCACGCUAUCAGAUGAGCCUGCGUAAGAUUAGCUUGUUGGUGGGGUAAAAGCCCACCAAGGCGACGAUCUUUAGCUGGUCUGAGAGGAUGAUCAGCCACAUCGGGACUGAGACACGGCCCGAACUCCUACGGGAGGCAGCAGUGGGGAAUAUUGGACAAUGGGGGCAACCCUGAUCCAGCAAUACCGCGUGUGUGAAGAAGGCCUGAGGGUUGUAAAGCACUUUCAAUUGUGAAGAAAAGUUAGCGGUUAAUAACCGUUAGCCUUGACGUUAACUUUAGAAGAAGCACCGGCUAACUCCGUGCCAGCAGCCGCGGUAAUACGGAGGGUGCAAGCGUUAAUCGGAAUUACUGGGCGUAAAGCGUGCGUAGGCGGUUUAUUAAGUCAGAUGUGAAAGCCCCGGGCUUAACCUGGGAACUGCAUUUGAAACUGGUCAACUAGAGUAUGGUAGAGGAAAGUGGAAUUUCUGGUGUAGCGGUGAAAUGCGUAGAUAUCAGAAAGGAACAUCAAUGGCGAAAGGCAGCUUUCUGGACCAAUACUGACGCUGAGGUACGAAAGCGUGGGUAGCAAACAGGAUUAGAUACCCUGGUAGUCCACGCCGUAAACGAUGAUAACUAGCCGUUGGGGGGAUUUACCCUUUAGUGGCGAAGCUAACGCGUUAAGUUAUCCGCCUGGGGAGUACGGCCGCAAGGUUAAAACUCAAAGGAAUUGACGGGGACCCGCACAAGCGGUGGAGCAUGUGGUUUAAUUCGAUGCAACGCGAAGAACCUUACCUGGUCUUGACAUCCUGCGAACUUUCUAGAAAUAGAUUGGUGCCUUCGGGAACGCAGUGACAGGUGCUGCAUGGCUGUCGUCAGCUCGUGUCGUGAGAUGUUGGGUUAAGUCCCGUAACGAGCGCAACCCCUAUCCUUAUUUGCCAGCACAUUAUGGUGGGAACUAUAAGGAGACUGCCGGUGAUAAACCGGAGGAAGGCGGGGACGACGUCAAGUCAUCAUGGCCCUUACGACCAGGGCUACACACGUGCUACAAUGGGAAGGACAAAGAGCCGCGAAGCCGCGAGGUGUAGCUAAUCUCAUAAACCUUUUCGUAGUCCGGAUUGGAGUCUGCAACUCGACUCCAUGAAGUCGGAAUCGCUAGUAAUCGUAGAUCAGAAUGCUACGGUGAAUACGUUCCCGGGUCUUGUACACACCGCC